GAUGAAGAACGUAGCGAAAUGCGAUAAGUAAUGUGAAUUGCAGAAUUCAGUGAAUCAUCGAAUCUUUGAACGCACAUUGCGCCCUCUGGUAUUCCGGGGGGCAUGCCUGUUCGAGCGUCAUUAUAACCACUCAAGCUCUCGCUUGGUAUUGGGGCUCGCGGUUCCGCGGCCCCUAAAAUCAGUGGCGGUGCCUGUCGGCUCUACGCGUAGUAAUACUCCUCGCGAUUGAGUCCGGUAGGUCUACUUGCCAGCAACCCCCAAUUUUUACAGGUUGACCUCGGAUCAGGUAGGGAUACUCGCUGAACUUAAGCAUAUCAAUAAGCGGAGGA
Molecule: unclassified non-coding RNA, 329 nt
Filed under: soil metagenome
Description: partial contains 5.8S ribosomal RNA, internal transcribed spacer 2, and large subunit ribosomal RNA
Rfam family: 5.8S ribosomal RNA (bases 1-120)
Source: RNAcentral